RNAcentral lists this ribosomal RNA (1044 nucleotides) under Triticum aestivum (bread wheat). RNAcentral describes it as "partial small subunit ribosomal RNA". Lineage: Eukaryota; Viridiplantae; Streptophyta; Magnoliopsida; Poales; Poaceae. The record is from RNAcentral.
AUGUAUAUAUACUUGAGAAUCAAUGGAAACCAGGACGGAUUGUCCUUUCACUUUCAAUCUCGUUUUACUCUAACACGUUAUCACGCACGUUGCUCUCCAAUAGAGCAAGAACCUGCCGGCGAACUCGCUGGAACUGAACAAAAUCAACAGGCAAAAGGUGAGACAGAAGAACAAAUGCCUGGGAAUCUUCUCUCCUUGUUUCUUCGCCUCCUUCGCGAUGACGGCCGUUGCCGCCGUUUCGUCGCUCGCCGCAGUCAUCAUGGUGUGGGCGGACUUCGUCGCUUCCACCGUCGAGUGCGCGACCUUCCCGCUUCGGUGGAGGUUGGAAGUCACCGCCACCAGAUCGGCGCCCUGAGCGUGCCGGUGCAGGCCCUAGCGCCGGCCGCUCGGCUUUUCGCGCCGCUGGCCCAUGAGCCGGCCGCGCCGCUGAUGCCGGCGGUGGCUGACUGGCUGUACGCCGGUCCGGCCGCUCCGACGCUGCACAUCGACCCGGUCGCCCCUGUCGAAAUAGUUACGCCUCCAGGGAACGACAUCGUCGAGGACGAGGACGAGGCUGCGCCGCUGCCAUCUCCGACCCCUACGGUCGUCGAGGUUGGAGCCAGCCGCGCGCUCGCCUUCCUGUCCACGCCGACGGGAUCCGCUGCUUCUCAAGUGCCGCGCCGGACGACGCCCCUGCGCCUCCGCAUCUACCAUCCCCCACGCCAACCACGCCUCCUCCUCGUCGCCGCCUUAAGUCCUUCGGCUUCACGGCGUCGAGCCCUCCGUCGAGCAGCCGUGCCGCCGCGCGCGUGGGGACUUGGAGCCCGGCCGCCCUCGGGCUCGCAAACGGCGUCUCCAACGGCGUCGAGCCGGGCACCCUGCUCAUUGGAGUUUCCCCGGACAAGGACGGGCGCAGGGGGAGCGCCUCCCGCCGCCCGUGAAUGCCGCUGCGGCGGCGUGCUUCCUGGUGGCACAGGGCGGCCGUGUGCCUGGGUUACUCGAGCGUGGUUGGGAACGAAGCGAUGGGGAAUUUCCCCCUCCGUCGCUCUGCUUAUCUGUUGGUAG